Molecule: ribosomal RNA, 520 nt
Filed under: uncultured bacterium
Lineage: Bacteria
Description: partial 16S ribosomal RNA
Rfam family: Bacterial small subunit ribosomal RNA
Source: RNAcentral
GACGAACGCUGGCGGCGUGCUUAACACAUGCAAGUCGAACGGAGAAUUUUACUUCGGUGAAAUUCUUAGUGGCGAACGGGUGAGUAACGCGUAGACAACCUGCCUCUUAGAUGGGGACAACAUCGCGAAAGCGGUGCUAAUACCGAAUGAAGUGGAGCUUCCGCAUGGAAGCAUCACCAAAGGUGGCCUCUAUUUAUAAGCUACCACUGAGAGAUGGGUCUGCGUCUGAUUAGCUAGUUGGCGGGGUAAUGGCCCACCAAGGCGACGAUCAGUAGCCGGGCUGAGAGGAUGAACGGCAACAUUGGGACUGAGACACGGCCCAAACUCCUACGGGAGGCAGCAGUGGGGAAUCUUCCGCAAUGGACGAAAGUCUGACGGAGCAACGCCGCGUGAGUGAAGAAGGUUUUCGGACCGUAAAGCUCUGUUGUUUGAGACGAAUGUGCAGACUUUGAAUAAGGGUUUGUAAUGACGGUAUUAAACGAGAAAGCCACGGCUAACUACGUGCCAGCAGCCGCAGUAA